GCUGGAAUGAGUGCGUUUAUGCUUGGAACAAAAGAGGAGUGCGGUGCCGAUAAAUCGAUAAUGAGACGUUUUUUAUUAGAAUAUUUGUGAAUAGCAAUACCAAUAGGGUUAGUGCACCAGGAGGAAAGCGAUGAAGAGGUGAAAGGACCGAUCAUGAAACCGUUUGUGGUUUCUGCGGAAAUGAGAGUGUCUACAGCGACUGGGUCUAAACGUG
Molecule: non-coding RNA, 214 nt
Organism: Pelobates cultripes (western spadefoot toad)
Lineage: Eukaryota; Metazoa; Chordata; Amphibia; Anura; Pelobatidae
Source: the annotation of a GenBank genome assembly